This 386-nucleotide ribosomal RNA is filed under the name uncultured bacterium. RNAcentral's name for it is "bacterial SSU rRNA". It matches the Rfam family "Bacterial small subunit ribosomal RNA", at positions 30 to 417 of the family's 1533-position model. The record is from RNAcentral.
AUUGAACGCUGGCGGCGUGCUUAACACAUGCAAGUCGUGCGGUAACAGGCGUAGCAAUACGUGCUGACGAGCGGCGAACGGGUGCGUAAUACAUGGGAAUCUGCCCUUUAGUGGGGAAUAACCCGGCGAAAGCCGGGCUAAUGCCGCAUAAGAUCUUCGGAUGAAAGCGGGGGAUCGUAAGACCUCGCGCUGAUGGAUGAGCCCAUGCCGGAUUAGCUAGUUGGUGAGGUAAGGCUCACCAAGGCGACGAUCCGUAGCUGGUCUGAGAGGACGGCCAGCCACACUGGGACUGAGACACGGCCCAGACUCCUACGGGAGGCAGCAGUGGGAAUAUUGGACAAUGGGGAAACCCUGAUCCAGCGACGCCGCGUGUGUGAAGAAGGCCU